UACGUAGGGUGCAAGCGUUGUUCGGAAUUACUGGGCGUAAAGGGCGCGUAGGCGGGCCCGUAUGUCGAUUGUGAAAGCCCUGGGCUUAACCUGGGAAUUGCAGUCGAAACUGCGGGUCUUGAGUGCCUGAGAGGAUGGCGGAAUUCCCGGUGUAGAAGUGAAAUUCGUAGAUAUCGGGAAGAACACCUGAGGCGAAGGCGGCUGUCUGGCGGUGCACUGACGCUGAGGCGCGAAAGCGUGGGGAGCAAACAGG
Molecule: ribosomal RNA, 253 nt
Filed under: uncultured bacterium
Lineage: Bacteria
Description: partial 16S ribosomal RNA
Rfam family: Bacterial small subunit ribosomal RNA
Source: RNAcentral